Molecule: ribosomal RNA, 483 nt
Filed under: uncultured bacterium
Lineage: Bacteria
Description: partial 16S ribosomal RNA
Rfam family: Bacterial small subunit ribosomal RNA
Source: RNAcentral
GAUGAACGCUGGCGGCGUGCCUAACACAUGCAAGUCGAACGAAGCUUGACGGAUGAUUUCUUCGGAAUGAAACCAGAUAUGACUUAGUGGCGGACGGGUGAGUAACACGUGAGCAACCUGCCUUUCAGAGGGGGAUAACGGCUGGAAACGGUCGCUAAUACCGCAUGAUGUGUUCGGAUGGCAUCAUCUGAACAUCAAAGAUUUAUCGCUGAAAGAUGGGCUCGCGUCUGAUUAGAUAGUUGGUGGGGUAACGGCCUACCAAGUCUACGAUCAGUAGCCGGACUGAGAGGUUGAACGGCCACAUUGGGACUGGGAUACGGCCCAGACUCCUACGGGAGGCAGCAGUGGGGAAUAUUGCACAAUGGGGGAAACCCUGAUGCAGCAACGCCGCGUGAAGGAUGACGGUUUUCGGAUUGUAAACUUCUUUUCUUAGUGACGAAGACAGUGACGGUAGCUAAGGAAUAAGCAUCGGCUAACUACGUG